CUUAGGUCACAUGCCCAUCUCUGAGCCAAUCACCUGGCUAACAAUGCUCUGAUUGGCCAGGUGUGGGUCAAGGCUCUGCCCCUUGAGGGGGUGGAGCCUCACAGGACCAUCCUGUACUGAAGAGUCUUGGCGGGUGAAGGAACUCCAGGGUUCUGCUCAUAUUAGAAAGGGGAGUGUAGCUAAAAAUAGCAACCAUUCUUAAAACAGAGGAGGGAGAAUUCUCACCUGGUUCUAAGUUUGUAUUAGCAAAUGGGAGCGAGACCACCUCCCCUCCCCCCACCGCCCCGCCCCGCCCCGCUGGCUUUGAGGAAUUAAGCUGUAUGCUGGGCGCAGCUUAAUUGGUCUCUGAGAGCCGAGAGCCAGCCCCUGCGGACCACCAGCAAGAAAGUGGGACUCUCAGUCCUAGUGAAUUCUGCCAACAACUGAAGGGGAUUUGCAAGAGAAACCGGAGCCUCAGAUGGGAUGGCAACCCUGCUGACACCUGGAUUCCAGCCUGUGAAAUAAGAAUGAGCCACUGAUUCAUCCAACAACAUGGGUACAUCUCAAAUUCAUCUUGCUAAAUGAAAGAAGAUGUGUGAUUUCAUUUACAUGACAUUCUGGAAAAGACGACGCUAGAAGAACAGUAGACAGAUCAGUGGUUGUAGGAACAGGUAGCCGGAAGUCCUGACGUGUAGUGCUUGCCCAUUUCCAUGGUGUAAAUACUCCCAGCACUGCCGAUCUCAAGAUGCCAACAGCUUAACCUCUGCACAAAAUUCCUGAAAACUGCUGGCAUGCUACUGAACACUGUGUAAAAUUAUGCCUCAAUAAA
Molecule: long non-coding RNA, 808 nt
Organism: Lagenorhynchus albirostris (white-beaked dolphin)
Lineage: Eukaryota; Metazoa; Chordata; Mammalia; Artiodactyla; Delphinidae
Exons: 4
Source: RefSeq, a predicted model, not a curated record